UUGAUAGUUCUAAUAAACAGGCUAAAUUACAAAAUAAUAAAUUAAUUUUUAUCUUGUACCUUAUUUUCAUCUCAACACUAUAACAGAAUUAGGUUAUACGGACACAUGUUUGGAACACUUUUGAGUAAGUAUCCUAUUUAUGCUAAAACUUAAAAAAAUAUCUACUUAUGCCUAAAUAUAAAGCCCAAUCCAACCAAAAAUAAAAGAUUACUCUACUCAACCCACCACACCCAGUCCAUUUGAUCCGAUUACAAACAGAAAAGAAAAAAAAAAGAAAAAUCAAUUACCAUCUUUUCUUCUCUCUUCACUCAAUCCACUGAAAUUCUAGACGGAGAGCCUUUCCUGUCGUCCUCCUCCGUCACCAUAGCCAAUGAGAUAGAAUUUCGGCGGUUGCUAAAUGCUUAAAUAAGUGUUGGUAAUUAGCAGCACUCUUUUAGGCUAUAGCGACACUCUUUAACUGUCACUAUAUAUCUAGCGACCCCACAUAUAGCAAUACUUUUUAAAAGUGUCGGUAAUUUUAGCUAGCAGCACUUUUUUGACAUGUACCUACAUUUAAAAGUGUCGGUAUAGACCGUUUUUGUUGUAGUGCAAAGAGAUCCAAUUUUAAAAUAAUUGUUUAAUUCUGCUUUAAAAUGUUAUAGUUUUAGUAAAAUUAUAUUUACCUCUAUCAACUUAUUUUGGUAAAAUUUUACAAUCAAAUAAACCGCUUCGUUCAUUUUAUUUAGAAAUAAAAUUAGCUAAAAAUGUGAAUCAACUAAAUUCGAACUUGGAACCUCGGGUACCAACCACCGAGCCCUUUUCCACUUGCGCUAGGGACGGUCGGUAGUGCAGGUGAAAGUUAAUGUAGUUUUUUAUACAAGAAAGUAUAAUUGAGAUACGAACUUAAUUAAGUGCCCAAAAGAUUUCGUAAUCUAGGGUAAUAAAUAAUUAAGUUAAUGAGGAUUAGUUAGGAUAAGGUGAUUUGAACAAGUUCAUUUACUCAACUUCUUAAUGAGGAUUAGUUGGGAGAAGGUAUUUUAAUGAGAGGGUUAGUUAGGAUAAGGUGAUUUGAACAAGUUCUUUUAUUACCGUCCCUAUAGCAAGUGACAAAGGGCUUGGUGGUUGGUACCCGAGAUCCAGGUUCGAAUCCUAGUUGAUUCACAUUUCCAGCUAAGUUUAUUUCUAAGUGAAAUAAACGAAGCGGGUAGCGUGCUACCUAUCUCUCUCAAAAAAAAAAAAAAAAAGUUUUUUUACUUUUUUUUUUUUUUUAUUAAAAUGCACCAUCGUAGUGCAAUAGAAUUUUAAUUUAUUGGAUGUGUUCUAUAAUAUUCAAAAGACAUACAUAUCUCAAAUCAUAAGUUUUAGUUAUCAUUAAUUUCUUCUGGAUUGAACAAUAACAUUGAAUAUAAACUAUAAAAAAUAUCAUUCUUUCGUAGCUUAACUUUUAGACACAAACAAUUGUUUCACAUGAUAUCAUAGCAAAACGUCCUUCGUUUGGUUCGGGGUUAAGAAAAAAUUAGCUAUUCCAGGGAUAGAGUUAAGUUCAAGGUUAAAGUGGGGUUAAAGUUUUUUUGUGUUUGGUUGGGGGUUGGAGUUAGUCUAGAAUAAUGAAAAAUAGUGUUUGGUUGGAUAGGUGGGAUAAGAAGAUAAUGAUUGAUAAAGAAGGAUAAUGAUUGGUUGGAGUAUGUGGGAUAAGAAAAGAUAGUGGGUUAUUAUGAAUAGAAAAUAGUGUUUGGUUAGAGUUUGGUGGGGUUAGGUGGGGUUAACUAACCCGAAAUAAUUUAUUUGAGGUGGGGUUAGCUAACCCCACCCAUUUUUUGGAGUGUUUGAAAAUAAUAUGGGGGUUAAGGGUAUUCCACCCCUUAACCCCCAACCAAACAAGGGCUAAGAGUUCAAUUCCAAAUUUAGUGCCUCUUAUUUAAUUCAAGUAUAUAUCUUCGUUUGUUUUAUCCAAAAUUUUCACACUAGCACAUAAGAGGAUGAAAAAAGUACCGUCAGCUAUUAAUCUUUUUUAUCUUUUUUUUUUUUUUCCAUCUCUUUCUUUUCCAUAAUUGACUUGAAAAAGUUAUAACUUUGGUUGCAUUCUUAAAAAGGAGAUUGUUAUCAAAUAAGAUAGAUCUCUACUUAGAUGCUUUAGGCAAAAUUUUCUCAAAUAAGAUAAAUAGUUAUUAUCUAAUAAUUAGUAGCAUUCCAUAAGAAAGGAGAUUGUUUCACUCAAGGUGGGGAGGAAGAAAGGAGAUUGUUCCACCGAAGGUGGAGAGAAGUAACGUGAAGUGAUUUUCGACUGUAUAUGCCCAUUUUCUUUAUUUGGUUCAUCAAAAUUAAAUAAGACCGUAAUUCAAUUUUUUCGUAACGUUGUAUUUGAUUUAGCAUUGGUUGGUAAUGAUGAAGUCAAUCGCAGAAGAAAAAGAGAUAGAAAAAAUAAUAAAAUUUGAACAAUUGUUUCCAUAAUGUUGUAUUUCAUUUAGCAUUGUUUGGUAAUGGUGAAGUCAAUUACGGAAGGAAAUUAAAGAGAGAAAAAUAAAAUAAAAUUUGACGAUUGUAACACACACACACUUUUUGGGAAACAAACACAGAAAGUGAAAAGCAUCAGUUUUGAGGCCAUUAAACGAACGGCGGUUAGAAAAAUAGUUUUCACUUGAACUUUAUUUCAAUUAAAAAUUAUUUUCAACCUGAAAAAUAGUUACACGCACAAAUUAACAAGCAGACCCUUGGUGGAGUUGAGCUUGAGCUAGGUUUGUUGAGCAUCUCACUAACUUAGGGCCUCCAUGGUACUGAGGGUUGUCUAAUGUUAUUAGAUAAAGAUAUGCUCCUCUGUAUUAAGUGGACUACAUAAAUUAUAUAUUGUAACGGAAUCAUUAGAUUUUACGUCGUGAUGUCUUUUACACAAAUAAUGGUAUAUUUUUUUCAUCGCACUUUCUGCCUGUACGUAAUGCAUCGUUCCCUCAAUUCCAAAUAGAAACUAAGAUAGUUAAUGAUCCAAGAUAUAAUGUUUGUUUUUUUUUACUCUUUAUGUUGGAGUGCAAAUAAUUUUUCUCACAAUAAUAAUUGUAAUAGGCUGGAGGACCCUCAUGGACUGUGCUACUGGGGAGAAGGGAUAGCACCACUGCAAACAUCACUGCAGCCAACAAUCUCCCUAGCCCCUUUGAUAACCUGACCACUCUUGAACAGAAGUUCGCCGCCGUCGGCCUCAACGACACCGAUCUCGUCACGUUAUCAGGUAUCUGCAUAAUCAUCAAAUAUCAACACUUUCUCAACUCGAAAUGCAAGAGUCAAAUGUUCUAAAACACACACAAAAAACUGGAACAAAAUAUGGUUUGUUUAGCUCCCAACAAAUUAAGCCCUAAAAAUAUGCUUGCUAUAGAGCUCUCUAAAAACAUAUACUAUUAUACUACCCGAAAAGUCAUGGGAGUUGAAUCCGGCAUGCAAGGUUUGAACUUGAGUGACAAACCAACUGGUUUAUACAGUGGCUAUUAAUGUAUGUCUUUUUGUAGCUGGUUAAUGUUCUCUUAUAUAUUCACUUUUGUCAAUAACAGGAGCUCACACAUUCGGCCGAGGCCAAUGCCAGUUCGUCACUCCACGGCUCUAUAAUUUCAGCAGCACCGUGAAUACAGACCCGACCCUGAACUCAACCUAUGCGACCACAUUGGAGCAAAACUGCCCCCAGGGCGGGAACGCAUCGGUCCUGAAUAAUCUCGACCCGAUCACGCCGAACACGUUCGACAGCAACUACUACAUAAAUCUGCAGAACCACCAAGGGCUCUUCACAUCUGAUCAGGAGCUCCUGUCGGAUCCCAAUGCGACGACGACCGCCUCGAUCGUCAAUAAUUUCGCUGGCAACCAGAGCGCAUUCUUCGAUAGCUUCGUGCAGUCGAUGAUCAACAUGGGGAAUAUUAGCCCCUUGACAGGGAGCAGUGGGGAGAUCAGAACCAACUGCAGUGUGGUGAAUAGCGGAUCCGGUUUGGAGUUGCAUAUUCGGAUUCAACAUGAUUCUGACAAGGGUUCAGCUGCAGAAUAAAAUAUUAAAAAAUAGGGUAAAUUGCAAAUUUGGUGUGGUGGGUGACAUUUUGAUCCUCAAACUUUAAUUUAUUGUCAUUUCUUGCUCAAACUUUUGGAAUUGGUGCAAUUAAGUUCUAUAACCCAAAUUAGUUGACUAAAUAUUGAUAUAUUACUAAAAUAGAAGUAAUGUAAUAGUGAUGUGAUUGAUAAUACACAAAUAUUUAAAAUGCCAUAUUACUUUUACAUCAGCGAUCAAUGCGUCAAUAUUUAGUUAAUUAAAUUAGGUUUUGGAACUUAAUUAUAACAAUUCUGAAAGUACAAGCUAGAAAUUACAACAAAUUAAAGUUUGAGCACUAAAUGUCAUCGGUCUCAUAGUUUGAAGAACAAGCAUGCAAUUUACCGCAAUAAUAUAUAAUGUAUCUGAACUUAAAUCUAAAUAGCUUUUUGUGAUCACAAUAAUAUGAUCAGAGAUAUACUCUCUCUCUCUCUCUCUCUCUCUCUCUCCUCUUUCUGGCUCUCUUUCUCAUCUUACUUUUUCCUCAUCCACAAUGGUACUCAUAACAGUGCUAGAAAAAAGUCUAAAAUGUGGAAGUCACAUAGAUGAUAUGGUACUGUUUUCAACCAAUCACAAUUGAACCCUAGAGUUCACCCAUUUUAUCACACGGUAUUAGAAAAAUAGUUUUGGUGUUCUUUUUUUCAAAAAGAGAAAAUUUGAUUGGUUGGGAUAUGGGUGACGUAGUGCGACCGCUACAUAGAAGACUUUCUCUAGCAUUAGAGUCCUCGUCCUCCUUUCAAUAAUGUGUGUUAUUUUUGUGUUUGGGUAUUGUGAGUAUUCUGGUCAUAGCGGUGUGCGACAAAUUCAAUAAAGGCUCAAGUUUUUCUUCAUAGUGUUUAAUUUUUGUCUAUUUCUGACGGGCUUUCACGUCGAUUAUGACUUUAAUUGUUCUGUCAACUUAGUUGCUUUGAUUUGUUGGUUUUGGGGUUUUAUUUAUUGUUUUCUUUUUAUAUUUUUAUUGUCCAGGACUGUGCUUAAAAUUUCUCUCCAAAAUUAUUUACUGUCAUAAUCAAGUUCUACUUCAACGAAAUACCUACGGAUUUUUUUUCUUUAAAACAAAUAUAUAUGAUUUAGAUAUAACUCAUAAAUAUGUUUUCCCCAGUGAACUGUUUACAACACACAAACAAAAAAAAAAAAAUACUUUUCCUUUUUUUAAAAUUGUUUGUUAAGUUCAUUUGAGUUUAAAAAGCAUUAAGAAUGGCUUCAUUUCGCUGUUGCAGAUUGUUUAUAAACUUUGUAAUUGUUUCAUGUCAAAAUUAAAUUUCAAGAGUAUUAGCUUUUGUUUUUUUUUGUUUUUAAAAUAAGUUUGCAAACUUACAAUAAUAUAUAAAAAAGAGUAUAUAGAGAAAUCCAUAUCUAGUUUCUUGAAUAAAGUAGAACUUGAACAAUGCAAAAAUAAUAUACACAAAUAAUGGCAAAUAUAUACAACAUCAGCUAUUGUCACGUAAGUUACGGGAUUCUUUUUGAAAAUCUUUUUUAAAAAAACUAGCGAAAAACGUAUAAAUUUUUUUUUUCUAAACACCUUUAAAGGCACCUCGAGAAUUCGUCAAGAUCUAUCAUAUGGAUAAGGGUCCCUAAGCGAAUGAAUAGAAUCUCUCUUAUACAUGCAUGACAUUGAACAUUUAUAAUCAUAAUUAGAAAUCAACUAAACCAAUAACUAAAUCCACAGUUAGCAGUCAUUAAUAAACAAUAAGUAACAAACUAAACUAAGUCACGUGGAUCUGAAACAUAAAGCCAAUCUGAAUAAACUGAAACACAUGGUAACCAAUCUGAAACAAUAUAAAACCAAUCAAAAAUGAGUAGAGUAAAAAUAAAAUAAAAAAUUAAGCUUAUAAAGAAUUUUCUUGAGUUAAAAGUUAAAACUGAUAAAAAAAUAAUAUUCUUAAUUUUAAAAUUCUUUGAAUAGAUAAAAUAUUAUAUUAACUUAUAUUCUAUAAAAACCAAUUAAACUCAAAACGUGUAUCUUGGGUAAAUGGAAUUGAUUUAUGAUGUAAACCAACUGGUCAAACGAAGAAGAUAAAACUUCGCAAUCUCUCAUUAAAACCUUAUUUCCAUUAUUAAAAAUAAAUAAUGAUCUUGUUGCAUAUGAUGGCCAUAAAUAUUUUAAAUGAAUAUUUUAAUCAAUCUUUAAUUAUCUCUCUUAGCAUAUAUUUUACACAAGUUGGAGUUUGGAGUUAGUAAAACAUGUGUCCAGAGAGACUCUUCUCUUUCCCCACUCAAGAUCUUAAUUUAUUAUGUAUGUUUUCGAAAAAUAUGCUUUGAUCAGAUUCUAUAUUUCAUGAACCACGACAAACGUAACCAAGUAAUUAAAUAGAAAAAGACAUAUUCAUCUUCAACAAAAGAUAUUCUAUUCAGACAUAUAAACAUUAGAACAAAAUAUGUUUUAGACGAUACUUUUUAAACGCUCAAUUCUAGCAUUGUUAAUAUUUGGCAUGCGCCGACACUAUAAUUAAGUAAUAUUUUUAUCAGAUACUGAUAAAAAUUCUCCGACGCUAUAUUAAAGCGUUGGUGUAUUUAUUCCGACAUAUUUACUUAACGAUUCUUUGCUCGACGCUUUUACAAGCGUCAGGAUUAUUCUUACCGAUGCUUUAAUGUAGUAUCCCUGGUGUUUGGUUAUUCGUGGAUUUCAGCAUUUGAGGCUUGUCGACACAUCUGGAGAGUGUCCGGACAAGUCGGAGUCGUUUUGGCGUGAAAUGGACGCAAAAUGGACUCAGUGCGACGCGGGAGUAGAGUUUGAUAUUGAAAUCUGCAAAGUGCGAGUUUCAGUAUUAAGUACCGGUACCAUGCAGGGGAGUACCGGUACCCAGUGUAUUUUUCGAACAGCUGCUCUCGGGUUGCGAUAAUUGAUGCUGAGUACCGGUACGGCAUCGGGCUGGUGUACUCUAGCUGGGAUGUUGAGUUGGUGAGGGGUAGAACGGUCUUUUUGUUGGUGGUUAUCCACACCACCAAAUCUCUCGUAUUUAUCCACCAGAGAGAUUAAUUAUCCUUCUCCUCUCUUUCUCUAACUUUGGUUAUAUGCUUGGUGGAGACCACAGCUUGAGCUCGGAUCGACGUCGACGUUGCGCCGGGGAGCUGAUCGAGCGCGUGGACGUCGCGGUUGCGCCGUUAGAGGCCGGACGAGCGCGUAUUUUCCCUUCUUUUGACUUCUCACCGUAGUUGGACUAGUUUUUUGAGGUGGGUUGAAGUUUACAGAAAUCGCCGGAAUACCUCCUAUGUUUUUUAUACCGUCGACAUGUAUCAUUUGUGUAUUUUUCUUACUAGUACUCGAAUUCAUGGAUUAGUGUUUAAAUCUGAAUUUGGCGUUAAGCUAGUAGUUUAAUAUUACAUGUUAGACUUGGAAUUGACUUAGGAGAAAACAUAUAGAUCCUACAUUGUCACUUUCUGAAAAUUACCAGAUUUAGUUUUAGAAGCUAUGGUUUAUUUGUAUCGUCGUUGUUAGUAUGCGAUGGAUACCCAGAUUAGGAUAGGAUGAGUUUACGCUCGUACUGGGAUGCCGAGUUUAUUUUUACAGUAGUGUGUAGACUGUUUCAGACUGUCGGGUGCCGGCGCGGUUGACAGUGGACCCAAAUUUCUAUAUUUACAUCAAAUUGUGCCAAGGGCACGUGAGUUUUGGUUGUUAGACCAGUUAGACCCAGUUGUUUUGAUUAUAGUCCGUGAGAGCCUGAUUGAGCUCGUUAGAGACAUACUUUCAUACUCGGUUGGGUAGCGCCCACGAGUGCCAUUCCGGAGUCGGGCUUAAUGCGUUUGAGUUGAUGUCGUAGUGUCCUGAUUGGACUUGGUCUCCACCAACAAUCCAGCGUGGUGGUGGUUGGUAUAGUUUUGACAGAUGGGACGGUUGUGUUCACAGUCCCUAAUGAGAUUGGGUCAGAGAUUGCAUCUUGCUUAUAUCUACAGAUAACUAAUGUUGGUUAGCGACAGUAUAGUGGCAUGUAGCCGUAGAGUUUUUUCAGCUUUCUUUACUAUUCUUGAGCAUACUUUCUGUAGAUUGUGGGUGAGCCGUUGAGGUCGGCAGUGGUACCCACUGAGCACUACUUUUUUUUGGAGUAGUUCUCACACCCAGUUGUUGACCCCUUUUUGCAGAGCCUUCGUUCGCGGAUGCUGCUGUUCCUGAUUUGGAUCGUGGAAAGGGAGUCGCAAGCUAAAUCCCUUCUAGUCUUGUUGCUGUUCUAGAGGAGUACCAGCUAUAGAUAGUUUUAAUUUUUAGUUCAUGUAGAUACUGAUGUUAGUUAGUCGCUGGAGCGAGUGAUGUCUGUAUCUUGGAGAUUAUGUAUGUAUAGUGAACCUGAUAUUUAUUUAUAUAUGUGUACAGUUCUGUUAGCAGCUCUAUACUACUAGUUGUAGUUUUGUAUGAUUACAGGUAUAGGUACAGCUAUCGCUUUAUAAACAGAGAAAAUUUUUUUGUAUACGGCGGGUCUAUUGGCGUGCCCGAAAAAAUGUGGUAAUCCGGGAUGUGACAUUUAAAGCAUCGCUAAUUAUUGUUUAAACUGCCCUUAAGUGCAAGAUUUGUUGUAGUGAAAUAUUUUAUGUAGUAUAUUUUUCUUAUUUUAUUUACGGAGUUUAUAAUAUUUAGUAAAUAAGGAAUUUAAUUAAAUGUCUAAAUUGAAAUAUCAUACUUACCCGUCAAAGUUUUUUUUUGAGAAAAAGAAAAUUUUAUAUGUGAAUAUAUUAUCUAACCAAAUAAUGAAUAACACGGCCUUUUUGAAAAUAAAUAUCAGUCUCUCAAAUAAUUCCAAUCAUGAAAGAAAAUGCACAAAUCGAAGGAGUUAUUACUGGAUAAUUUAUUAUAAUUUGAGAAAUAAGCCUAAGCCUUCUUUGGAUGUCCGAAUAAAUUAUUUAGUGAUAACUUACACUACAACAGAAUUAGAUUAUAGAGACACAUUUUUUAGACACUUUUAUAUAAGUGUCCCAUUUAUACUAAAACUUUUAAAAAAGUCAACUAAGGCCUAACUAUAAAGUCCAAUCCAACAAAAAAUAAAAAAGUUACUCUGCUCAACCCAUCCCACCUAGCCCAUUUGGCCUAAUUAUAAAAUAGAAAAGAAAAAGAAAAAAAAAAUCGAUCACCAUCUCCCCUUCUCUCCUCACUCAAUUCACUGAAAUCUUAAACGAAGACCCUUCGCUCUCCUCCUCCUCUGCCACCGCAGCCAACGAGGUAGAGUUCCAGCUGUUGCUAAAUACUUAAAUAAGUGUUCGUAAAUUAGCAGCAUUCUUUUUAGAUUAUACCAACACUCUUAAACUAUCACUGUAUACCUAUCAUCUCCACAUAUAACAAUAUUUUUUAAAGUGUCGGUAAUUUAGCCGGCAGCAAUUUUUUUUAUCUAUACCGACAUUUAAAAGUGUCGCUAUACAUCGUUUUUAUUGUAGUGUUAUUUGGAAUUAGAAUUUUCUUGUGUGAUUGAAGAUGUUCGAUUUUUGCUAUUUAACUGUUUUGACAUUUGUAAUUUGAUAAUAUAACAUAUUUCAUCUAUAAAGUAACUUAUCUUAUUCUGAAAAAAUGACUAAAAUGCUAGAUAUAUUCACUACAACAGAAUUAGGUUAUAGGGACACAUGUUUGGGACACUUUUGAAUAAGUGUCCCAUUUAUGCUAAAACUUAAAAACACAUCUACUAAUGCCUAAAUAUAAAGCCUAAUCCAACCAAAAAUAAAAGAUUACUCUACACAACCCACCACACCCACUUCAUUUGGCCCGAUUACAAACAGAAAAGAAAAAAAAUAGAAAAAUCAAUUACCAUCUUUUCUUCUCUUUUCACUCAAUCCACUGAAAUUCUAGAUGAAGAGCCUUUACUGUCGUCCUCCUCCGCCACCGCAGCCAACGAGAUAGAGUUUCGACGGUUGUUAAAUGCUUAAAUAAGUGUUGGUAAAUUAGCAGCACUCUUUUAGGUUAUAGCGACACUCUUUAACUGUCACUAUAUACCUAGCGACCCCACAUAUAGCAACACUUUUUAAAAGUGUCGGUAAUUUUAACUAGCAGCAUUUUUUUAACAUGUACCUACAUUUAAAAGUGUCGCUAUAGACCGUUUUUGUUGUAGUGUAUGAUAUUCCAUUUUAUA
RNAcentral lists this long non-coding RNA (10080 nucleotides) under Ananas comosus (pineapple). RNAcentral describes it as "long non-coding RNA (ACOM_LNC035969)". Lineage: Eukaryota; Viridiplantae; Streptophyta; Magnoliopsida; Poales; Bromeliaceae. The record is from RNAcentral.